This is a long non-coding RNA of Mustela erminea (ermine), 1891 nucleotides long. RefSeq lists it as uncharacterized. The transcript is spliced from 6 exons. The record is from RefSeq and is a predicted model, not a curated record. NCBI's taxonomy places the organism in Eukaryota, Metazoa, Chordata, Mammalia, Carnivora, Mustelidae.
UGGCCUCCGCCCGGUGGCCAAACCUCCACCAAGCCUCCCUCCACUGCGGUUGCCCUUGCGCUGGUGCCCUGUGGAGGGAGCGGAGGGAGCGUCGCGUCGGAGGGAACUGUUGGGGCUGCGGGAGAUGUAAUGACAGUGACAGGGCUCCAGCAUGGCUUGACAUGUUAGCAGACACCACUGCUGCACUCCGGACCAAGUCCCCCGCGCCUGCCGCCUGUCACCUUCCACCGCCCACAGCCCACGUCCCACCGCUGGAGGACCCUUCUCAGUCCUGGAGCCCUGCUUACCUGGCAGGAGGUAGCAGGCUGGGGCUUAAGGGGCACAGCCGUUUGGAAUCCCCAGCCUUCCCCAGAGCCUAAUUCUAAACUCCGAUGAAGUUCAAGAUUUCUGCCCCACCCCAGCCCACCUCGUUCAGGCCACUUCCAGAAUCAUCCUUUCUACUCAGCCACUCCACGCCUGGAGAUUGCAUUAGAGGACCCCAGUUCUCUGGGAUUCAAGCUCCUGGCGCUGAUCAGGACCCAUCCCUGUCUCCACCUGACUACACCUGCAAAGACUCCAUCCAAAGAUGGUCAUGUUCACACACCGGGGGUUAGGACUUGAGCAUAUCUUUUCCUGGGACACAAUUCAACCUGCAAAAGGCAUUCGGAAGCCCUCUGUUUGCAGAAUUGGAAGCAAUCGUGCAACUGUUUCUGCCCACACAGAGGAAAACAAGCCUCCGGAAUGUGUAAUCAACACAGUCUGGCCCCUCCUCUGCUGCCGGAAAUAGUGAAAUCCUCCCAGAUCAUCAGUGCUCCUAUAUCCAUGCGUCCUCUGUGCCCCGUGAUUUGGCUGCAAAGUCCUGUCUCCAGCUGACCCUCAAGUUCUCUCCCCCUCUCCCGCCCAUGGCUGGCACCCUUGGGCUUUGGCUGAAGAUAGAACCGGUCAACCCAGAGGUUGCCCUCAUCACCUUUGACAGCAUGAGCUUCGGGAAAGAAGUCAGCCCUAGCCUUGGUUACCAGUCUUCCCCCAGCCACUCGGUACUCACCUACAUGAUGAUAUCUGACACUGGUCUCCUGGGGAUCGAACCCCUAAGUUGGAAGACAGGUCAUGAGCCUGGUCCUAUCACUCCUAUUUGCAGGGACCACUUCCCUUUCGGAAUCUUGAUUCUCUUAUCUCCAGAGUGGCGACGGUAAUUCCUGUCUCCCCCUGAUGAAUGGCAACCCCGUCCAUCCCACUGUGCAGCCCUCCACUGGACAUUCUCUCUGGCUCUGAUGCCACCACUGUGCCAAAUUUCCCUCAGCCCCCUCCAGGGUGACUGCCAUAGCCUCCAGGCCCUUGCUCCCCUCAGCCCCCUCCAGUCAGUUCUCCAUGCGGCUGCUAGAGUGAACCCUGCAGAGCAUCCGACCCUGUUUAAGUCUGCAAACACUUCCCGUUACUCUCAGGAUAAAGACAUAAUUCCUCUGUACCUCGGCCAACAAGGACCACCCACAGAUCUGGUCUUUGAUGACUUUCCCAUUUCGUUUCCACUCUGCACCCUCCAAAGGCACUGUAUUCCCUGCCAGGCCCCCCUGGUCUCCAAGCUACCUUCUGACUCAGAGCAGUUCCCAUUCUCCGGAACGUUCUUUCCUCCUCUCUUAAUGAACACCUCUACUUCAUCAGAUGUCAGCUCAAGGAUCACUUCCUCGUGGGAUGCUCGAGGUCAAAUUCCCCAGGUCAGUCUCCUUGCCCUGAGCACCAGUCCUUUGUAGACUUUAUGACGCUUAUCAAGACAGCACUGAACAUCUUACCAUGGGAUCACAUGGUGCAUGUCUUUCUCCCCUAUGGCAAAGAUGCCUCCAGGAAGGCUAAUAUCUCAUCUUCUUUGGCAACUGUAUACACUACACCCAGCACGGUGCCUGGCACAGGGCAGUCA